GGGGCUAUAGCUCAGCUGGGAGAGCGCCUGCUUUGCACGCAGGAGGUCUGCGGUUCCGAUCCCGCAUGGCUCCU
This 74-nucleotide transfer RNA is filed under the name Salmonella enterica subsp. enterica serovar Weltevreden. RNAcentral describes it as "tRNA-Ala". It matches the Rfam family "tRNA". From Rfam's summary of the family: Transfer RNA (tRNA) molecules are approximately 80 nucleotides in length. Their secondary structure includes four short double-helical elements and three loops (D, anti-codon, and T loops). Lineage: Bacteria; Pseudomonadati; Pseudomonadota; Gammaproteobacteria; Enterobacterales; Enterobacteriaceae. The record is from RNAcentral.